GGGGAAAUAGCUCAGUUGGUUAGAGUGCUGGUCUAUGACGCCAGAAGUCACGGGUUCGAACCCCGUUUUCCCCG
Sorghum bicolor (sorghum) is the source of this 74-nucleotide transfer RNA. It matches the Rfam family "tRNA". From Rfam's summary of the family: Transfer RNA (tRNA) molecules are approximately 80 nucleotides in length. The record is from Rfam. NCBI's taxonomy places the organism in Eukaryota, Viridiplantae, Streptophyta, Magnoliopsida, Poales, Poaceae.